Molecule: ribosomal RNA, 301 nt
Filed under: uncultured bacterium
Lineage: Bacteria
Description: partial 16S ribosomal RNA
Rfam family: Bacterial small subunit ribosomal RNA
Source: RNAcentral
CAGUCGCCGCGGGAAAACGUAGGUGGCAAGCGUUGUCCGGAAUUAUUGGGCGUAAAGGGCUCGCAGGCGGUUUCUUAAGUCUGAUGUGAAAGCCCCCGGCUCAACCGGGGAGGGUCAUUGGAAACUGGGAAACUUGAGUGCAGAAGAGGAGAGUGGAAUUCCACGUGUAGCGGUGAAAUGCGUAGAGACGUGGAGGAACACCAGUGGCGAAGCACUCUGCUGGGCCGACGUUGACACUGAGAGACAAACGCUAGGGGAGAAAAUGGGAUUAGAUACCCGGGUAGUCCCUGUCUCUUAUACA